RNAcentral lists this ribosomal RNA (1242 nucleotides) under metagenome. Its description in RNAcentral is "bacterial LSU rRNA". It matches the Rfam family "Bacterial large subunit ribosomal RNA", at positions 1564 to 2816 of the family's 2925-position model. The record is from RNAcentral.
UGAAUACGAGAUGCUACGGCAUUGAAGCAGUCUAUGUCACACUUCCAAGAAAAGCUCGCAAUGUCAUAAACAAAUAAUGCCUGUACCAUAACCGACACAGGUGGGUAGGUAGAGUAUACUAAGGGGCGCGAGAUAACUCUCUCUAAGGAACUCGGCAAAAUGACUCCGUAACUUCGGGAGAAGGAGUGCCUUAUUUAUAAGGUUGCAAUAACAAGAUCCAAGCAACUGUUUACUAAAAACACAGGUCUCCGCUAAGUCGUAAGACGAUGUAUGGGGGCUGACGCCUGCCCAGUGCCAGAAGGUUAAAGAAGUUGGUUAGCUUAGCGAAGCUGAUGACUGAAGCCCUGGUGAACGGCGGCCGUAACGAUAACGGUCCUAAGGUAGCGAAAUUCCUCGCCGGGUAAGUUCCGACCCGCACGAAAGGCGUAAUGAUUUGGAUACUGUCUCGGAGAGGGGCUCGGUGAAAUAGACUUGUCUGUGAAGAUGCGGACUACCUGCACCAGGACAGAAAGACCCUAUGAAGCUUUACUGUAACUUGAGAUUGAAAUUGGACUUUAUUUGCGCAGUAUAGGUGGGAGACGUUGAGAAUAUUCUUGCGGGAAUAUUGGAGUCAUCAGUGAGAUACCACUCUUGUAAUGUUAGAUUUCUAACUUUGGAUCAUUAUCUGGUCAAAGGACAGUUUCAGGCGGGCAGUUUGACUGGGGCGGUCGCCUCCCAAACGGUAACGGAGGCGCACAAAGGUUUCCUCUGAACGUGUAGAAAUCGUAUCUAGAGUGUAAAGGCAUAAGGAAGCUUGACUGUGAGACCUACAAGUCGAGCAGGGACGAAAGUCGGUCUUAGUGAUCUGACGGUGCUGAGUGGAAAGGCCGUCACUCAACGGAUAAAAGUUUCUCUAAGGAUAACAGGCUGAUCUCCCCCAAGAGUUCACAUCGACGGGGAGGUUUGGCACCUCGAUGUCGGCUCAUCGCAUCCUGGGGCGGUAGUACGUCCCAAGGGUUGGGCUGUUCGCCCAUGAAAGCGGUACGCGAGCUGGGUUCAGAACGUCGUGAGACAGUUCGGUCCAUAUCCGGUGUAGGCGUUAGAAUAUUGAGAGGAGCCUUCUUUAGUACGAGAGGACCGAGAAGGACAUACCUCUGGUGUACCAGUUAUCGUGCCAACAGUAAACGCUGGGUAGCUAUGUAUGGAGAGGAUAACCGCUGAAAGCAUCUAAGUGGGAAGCCCACCUCAAGAUAAGUAUUCUCA